UACGUAGGGUGCAAGCGUUAAUCGGAAUUACUGGGCGUAAAGCGUGCGCAGGCGGUUCUAUAAGACAGAUGUGAAAUCCCCGGGCUCAACCUGGGAACUGCAUCUGUGACUGCAUAGCUAGAGUACGGUAGAGGGGGAUGGAAUUCCGCGUGUAGCAGUGAAAUGCGUAGAUAUGCGGAGGAACACCGAUGGCGAAGGCAAUCCCCUGGACCUGUACUGACGCUCAUGCACGAAAGCGUGGGGAGCAAACAGG
This 253-nucleotide ribosomal RNA is filed under the name uncultured bacterium. RNAcentral describes it as "partial 16S ribosomal RNA". It matches the Rfam family "Bacterial small subunit ribosomal RNA", at positions 524 to 776 of the family's 1533-position model. The record is from RNAcentral.